CACACACACACACAAAAAAAAUUAGCCUGGCAUGGUGGCAUGCGCCUGUAGUCCCAGAUACUCGGGAGGCUGAGGCAGGAGAAUCACUUGAACCCAGGAGGCAGAGGUUACAGUGAAUCGAGAUUGCAUCACUGCACUCCAGUCUGAGCAACAGUGAAACUCCAUUUCAAAACCAAAGAAAUAUAAGUAUUGCAGAGGUCGAGGCACUCUGAGAAAGGCAGGUAGGACAGCAGUUUCUAGAAUCAUAAUUUCUGUUUCAAAUUUCAGCUCUCUCAUUGGCUACAUGACUUUGGGCAUGUCACUUAAACUCCUGGAAUCUGUUUCUUUGUCUGUGUAAUUGAACAAAGCCAGUAUCUACACAAAGAUUUGCUGAGAGAAAUGAAUGAGAGCAUGUGCAUAAAAUUCCUAGCACUGAACUAAGUGCACAAUAAACAAAAAAGUAAUAGUUGUAAUUAAACUGCUGGAGAGGAUAGGCCAAAGCCUUCCAGAGGUUCCCAUCUGACUGCAAGGUCCUGUCUCGAAGAGGGGCCUGGGAUGCCAUAGGGUCUGUGCCCAGAAAGGUUCAUGCCCAUUACAGGAUUCGAGGAUUUGCCAUCAUAACUGCAAGGAUUCCUUAUGCUUUUUAUGGCACUUGAUAGUUUAUAUCCAUUAUCUUGUGAAGAAGGUAUUAUAACAAUAUCCAUUUUACAGACAAAGAAACUGGGGAGGUUACACAGCUAGAGAAGAAGGAUUAAAACCCAGGGCGUUGGACUCCUGUUCCACAUGACUUUGAGCCUUCCUGGCAGAGAGUCUCGCUCUGUCACCCAGGUAGAGUGCAAUGGCACGAUUUUGGUUCACUGCAACUUCCACCUCCCGGGUUCAAGCGAUUCUUGUGCUUCAGCCACCUGAGUAGUUGGGAUUACAGGCAUGUGCCACCACAUCCAGCUAAUUUUUGUAGAGACAGGGUUUCACCAUGUUGCCCAGGCUGCCUCAGGUGAUCCGCCCACCUUGGCCUCCUAAAGUGCUUGGAUUACAGGCAUGAGCUUCAAUCCUGCAUUUUUUGACUUCUAUUGUUAUUAUACAGUCCAUGAUUCAUGACUCAAUUUUUUUACUU
RNAcentral lists this long non-coding RNA (1093 nucleotides) under Callithrix jacchus (white-tufted-ear marmoset). Its description in RNAcentral is "lncRNA (ENSCJAG00000073034.1)". Lineage: Eukaryota; Metazoa; Chordata; Mammalia; Primates; Cebidae. The record is from RNAcentral.